UACAGAGGGUGCGAGCGUUGUCCGGAAUCACUGGGCGUAAAGGGCGCGUAGGCGGUCUGGUAAGCGUGUGGUGAAAGCUCGGGGCUCAACCCCGAGUCGGCCAUGCGAACUGCUGGACUGGAGCAUGUCAGAGGCAGGCGGAAUUCCGGGUGUAGCGGUGGAAUGCGUAGAGAUCCGGAAGAACACCGGUGGCGAAGGCGGCCUGCUGGGACAUUGCUGACGCUGAGGCGCGACAGCGUGGGGAGCAAACAGG
RNAcentral lists this ribosomal RNA (253 nucleotides) under uncultured bacterium. Its description in RNAcentral is "partial 16S ribosomal RNA". It matches the Rfam family "Bacterial small subunit ribosomal RNA", at positions 524 to 776 of the family's 1533-position model. The record is from RNAcentral.